Molecule: transfer RNA, 57 nt
Filed under: Neotoma lepida (desert woodrat)
Lineage: Eukaryota; Metazoa; Chordata; Mammalia; Rodentia; Cricetidae
Source: Rfam by way of RNAcentral
GGCUCAGAGGUUGAGAGCACUGGCUGCUCUUCCAGAGGUCCUGGGUUCAAUUCCCAG